UUAUUUGUGUUAAAUGGAAGGUUACAUGGAGAACUAUAUAUAGUGGCCUUUUCUAAAUUCUUUAUAAAUGCUGCUAACAGAUGUUAUUUUGACUCACUAAAAUAGAUAUAAAUAUGAUGUAUGUGAUGUUAUUACACAUAAGUCUUUUCGUUGUCCAAAAGCCGAAGAAUAUAUUAGACCUUUAUACAGAUGUUUUAGAUGUCAAGCAUUUUCAGGUUUUUGGAACACUAAUUCGUAGGAAUUUAGAAGCGCUUCGAUGAAUACUUCAAUGCAUAGAAGCCAACAGGUUGGCCGUGCAAAAGAAACUACAUCAACUUCAAAAUUUGAUAGAAUAGGAAAUGAGAGCAAUAAAAGAGAGGUACUCGUCAGCGAUAUAAUAGAGGGAGACGGGAGACGUACGCGAAGCAAUCAAGACCGUGAAGAAUAGCAAAUCCUCUGGAUUAGAUUCCAUCCGUACUGAGCUUCUAAAACAUGAUAGAGUCAAAAUUACUAAGUUUCUCAGUCGAAACAGACUUACGUAUAAUAUUCUCUCUUCUUCAGUUCGUCUCUCACUAUCGAAAUACUUUUACCAACCGCUUCACCAAGUCUUCACGAAAAUUUGGCUAUUACGCUUACGGCAAUAUAUUGAAAAAGCACUUAAUAUUUGCGAAGAGGAAAAUAGCAUCCCAUACAGGAAGCUUUGAAAGCGCAGCACCAACUGGCCUUUUUUGGUAUAUCGAUAUUACUGAAUAAUCGAUAAUGUUUUAAAAAGAUGCUUAAAACACUCAUUGAGAUCACGAAAGGAAUGUGAUAAGAAAGUAUUAGCAGCAAGUCAAAAUGGAUUUCGAUUAAGAAGUAUUUCUUUCAGACAUUAAAGAUAUAUAUUUUCAGCUAAGCCGAAAUAUCGUCUCAUAUA
Long non-coding RNA from Octopus bimaculoides (California two-spot octopus), 895 nucleotides. The record is from RefSeq and is a predicted model, not a curated record. Lineage: Eukaryota; Metazoa; Mollusca; Cephalopoda; Octopoda; Octopodidae.